UUAAUUGAAACCAAAGAAGAGGUAAAUCACUGUUAAUGAUGUAAUUGAAAUUAUUUUCCAAUUAAG
RNAcentral lists this transfer RNA (66 nucleotides) under Rhombodera valida. Its description in RNAcentral is "tRNA-Asn". Lineage: Eukaryota; Metazoa; Arthropoda; Insecta; Mantodea; Mantidae. The record is from RNAcentral.